GGUAAUUAUGACAUGUUAGGGUUUACUUCAUUAAAUAAAGUUAGUUUGGGGGCUUUUACGUUAAAUACUUAGGUUGGAGGAUUUUACUCAAAACAAACAUAGUUGAUGGGUUUUAACGUUAAAAAUCCUCCACAUAAUAGUUAAUAACAGCAAGUGAUUAGAAUUUUUUUCAACUAUAACUUUUUUUUUCUUUUUAAAACACUAAAUCUAUUUAACUUUUUUUUAUAGGGCUAAUGGUAAUCUUUCAACUUAUAUUUAUACUAUUAAAUGAGAAAAAGUCUUAAAAAUCUACUUAAAUAAGGUUGUUUGACCCAUUAAUUAGCUAAUUAUUUUUUGGUCUUACCUAAUACCCCUAGACUAUAUUUGCGAAGUGAUUUUGCCACAUGUCCUCUCUACAAUCAAUUUUACAAAACAAAUAUGACAUGGCUACUGAAAUUGAUGACAUGGCUUCUGGAAAAAUAUGACAUGGAGAA
RNAcentral lists this long non-coding RNA (473 nucleotides) under Brassica napus (rape). RNAcentral's name for it is "long non-coding RNA (BNAP_LNC011025)". Lineage: Eukaryota; Viridiplantae; Streptophyta; Magnoliopsida; Brassicales; Brassicaceae. The record is from RNAcentral.